RNAcentral lists this transfer RNA (76 nucleotides) under Syntrophaceae bacterium. RNAcentral's name for it is "tRNA-Ala". It matches the Rfam family "tRNA". Rfam says of the family: Transfer RNA (tRNA) molecules are approximately 80 nucleotides in length. Their secondary structure includes four short double-helical elements and three loops (D, anti-codon, and T loops). The record is from RNAcentral. Lineage: Bacteria; Pseudomonadati; Thermodesulfobacteriota; Syntrophia; Syntrophales; Syntrophaceae.
GGGGCUAUAGCUCAGCUGGGAGAGCGCUUGAAUGGCAUUCAAGAGGCCGACAGUUCGAUCCUGUCUAGCUCCACCA